RNAcentral lists this ribosomal RNA (460 nucleotides) under uncultured bacterium. RNAcentral describes it as "partial 16S ribosomal RNA". It matches the Rfam family "Bacterial small subunit ribosomal RNA", at positions 338 to 795 of the family's 1533-position model. The record is from RNAcentral.
CCUAUGGGUGGCUGCAGUGAGGAAUAUUGGUCAAUGGGCGCUAGCCUGAACCAGCCAAGUAGCGUGAAGGAUGACUGCCCUAUGGGUUGUAAACUUCUUUUAUAUGGGAAUAAAGUGCAGUAUGUAUACUGCUUUGCAUGUACCUUAUGAAUAAGGAUCGGCUAACUCCGUGCCAGCAGCAGCGGUCCUACGGAGGAUCCGAGCGUUAUCCGGCUUUAUUGGGUUUAAAGGGAGCGUAGGCGGGUUGUUAAGUCAGUUGUGAAAGAUUGCGGCUAAACCGUACAAUUGCAGUUGAUACUGGCAUCCGUGAGGACAGGAGAGGUAGGCGGAAUUCGUGGUGUAGCGGUGAAAUGCUGAGAUAUCACGAAGAACUCCGAUUGCGAAGGCAGCCUGCUGGACUGUAACUGACGCUGAUGCUCGAAAGUGUGGGUAUCAAACAGGAUUAGAUACCCUUGUAGUC